UAAGGAAUAUUGGACAAUGGUCGGAAGACUGAUCCAGCCAUGCCGCGUGAAGGAAGAAGGCGCUCAGCGUUGUAAACUUCUUUUGGACGGGAAUAACAACUUCCACGUGUUGGGAGCCUGAAGGUACCGUCAGAAUAAGCACCGGCUAACUCCGUGCCAGCAGCCGCGGUAAUACGGAGGGUGCGAGCGUUAUCCGGAAUCACUGGGUUUAAAGGGUGCGUAGGCGGUUUGAUAAGUCAGUUGUGAAAUA
RNAcentral lists this ribosomal RNA (250 nucleotides) under uncultured bacterium. RNAcentral describes it as "partial 16S ribosomal RNA". It matches the Rfam family "Bacterial small subunit ribosomal RNA", at positions 355 to 601 of the family's 1533-position model. The record is from RNAcentral.